Molecule: ribosomal RNA, 321 nt
Filed under: uncultured bacterium
Lineage: Bacteria
Description: bacterial SSU rRNA
Rfam family: Bacterial small subunit ribosomal RNA
Source: RNAcentral
GACGAACGCUGGCGGCGUGCUUAACACAUGCAAGUCGAGCGGUAAGGCCCUUUCGGGGGUACACGAGCGGCGAACGGGUGAGUAACACGUGGGUGACCUGCCCUCAGCUCUGGGAUAAGCCUGGGAAACCGGGUCUAAUACCGGAUAUGACUCCAUGACGCAUGUUGUGGGGUGGAAAGCCUUGUGCGGCUGAGGAUGGGCCCGCGGCCUAUCAGCUUGUUGGUGGGGUGAUGGCCUACCAAGGCGACGACGGGUAGCCGGCCUGAGAGGGCGACCGGCCACACUGGGACUGAGACACGGCCCAGACUCCUACGGGAGGCA